CAGUGAACUUCUCCUCAGCCCCUCAGUCCAGUGAGCACUCUCGGUGGUGAGGAGAGGGAUGGGAAGAACUGCAGGGGUCUGGUGACUGAGAGCUUUGGGGCAUCACUCCAUCUGCCUUGGUCACUAUGCACAGCCCCUCCCCCCCAUCCCCAUUCUUCUCUGGAGGUGGCAGCCCCAAGCCCACCUGUGGGGCCUCACUGUCACCCUGCCCCCUGCCCUUGGACCUUUGUGUGGGUACAAGUUCCUUGUCCCAGGACCUCAGGCCGCUAUGAGCAAGGGGCAGACGGAGGCCAGGGCCCGGCCCCCCAGAUGCCACACAGCCAGGAUUCAUUACCCUUCUUUGGGACCCCACAUUUGUCACUCCCAGGACGGUGGGGCUUGGAGGAAGCUAUCCACAUGUCCUCCUUUCUGCUCCAGAUGGGGCAAGGAGUUUGAAUUAGAUAAACAGAGAUGAACAAAUGCUAAACUUGGAUUCCAGCUGUGGCGCCUGGUGGGUCAAUGAUCUGGCGCAUCUCCGUGGCAUUGCUGGUUCUACCCCUGGCCCAGCNUGGCAUUGCUGGUUCUAUCCCUGGCCCAGCACAGUGGGUUAAGGAGCUGACAUUGCCCCAGCUGUGGUGUAGGACUCAGACGAGGCUCAGAUUUGAUCCCUGGCCCAGGAGCUUCCAAUAUGGCCAAGGGUGCGGCCAAAAAAGAAAAAAAAAAUGCUAAACAGGAACACAAACUUUAUACAGAUCAUUUUUAGACAUUAAACAGACACAAAGGGCCUGGCAACAUCUGAGGGUCUUGUGUGGCCUUUCUUUGGGUUGAACUUUGUCCCUUCAGACACAACGUGCCAAGGCUUUGUGUGGUUCCCGAGGCCCUGCUGUGGCUGCAGCUUGUUCUUAUCCCCGUUGGGUGGCUGGAGAGAGGCACUGAGCAGAGCCGGCCUGCCUCGUCCUCCGUUUCCACGUCUCCACGUUGCUGGGAGAUGAAGGCUGCUGUCGCCUGGGCAGCCCCAGGGGCACAUUUGCAUUAUUUUGUGGCAACAGGCAAAUUUCCUGGAGGGGGUUUUGUGAAGAGCUGGGAGCCGCCCAGAGGGAAAGCUGAAGGAAGUGGAGAGCAGAAGGCCAAGAGGAAACAAGCCCGGGCAGAGGCUGGCCUGGGGGGGGAUCUGGAGCCCUGAACCCCUCCUCUGCCCUUCUGAGCUGCAGAGGGAAGCCUGGGCCUGAGCGGGUCCAGGGGGUGGUGCUGCCACCUGCGCUGACCUGCAGGAAAGCUUGCCCAACCCAAGCCUGUGUCAGUGGCAGGAUAACAAUCUAAGGAGGAGCCAACCAGGCUGCAGAGUAAAAUGGAAAAUUCCCAACCAGGCUGCAGAGUAAGAUGAGGACCUCCUGCGCCUCAGCUGCCCCCAGGGGCACUGGCCAGGCCCUGACGGGAAGGCAGUGGGCAACGGCAACUGAGCAACUCCAGGCGGAAGGGAACAGGGACCCUGGGCUCUGACCUUUCUCUUUAUUCUUGCAUCUUGGGAACUGGUGUGACUAGGGGCUUAGCAGGUGUGUGGACUGGAUGGGGAUGGAGAGGCCAUGAUGAAAUGAAAGAAGACAGACCUGCUUUCUGCAUAUAAAGGAGGUCCAACAACCUUCCACAAUAGGCUGAGAACCUGAAAAAAAAUGGGUCGCGUCGGUGUAAACAAAUUAAGCAGUGUUCCACAAGCAUAUCAAGGUUUUGUUUUGGGGUUUUGUGGGGUUUUUUGCUCUUUUUAGGGCCACACCUGAGGCAUACGGAGGCUCCCUAGCUAGGGGUCCAAUCAGAGCUGUAUCCCUUGGCCUACAGCCACAGCCACACCAGAUCCGAGAUGCAUCUGCAGCCUACAUCACAGCUCACAGCAAUGCUGGACCCUUGACCAAAUGAACGAGGGCAAGGAUCAAACCUGUGUCCUCACGGAUGCUAGUCAGAUUCGUUUUCCGCUGAGCCACAACAGGAACUCCUUUUAUUUUUUAUUUUUAAGUUGUUUUAGUUUUGGCGGGGCCACACCUGGCACGCAGCUGUUUGCUCCCUUAGGCCAGGGAUCGAACCUGCCUCAUAGGGGUGACAAUGCCAGGUCCUUAAUCACUGAGCCACCAGGGAGCUCCUCAAGAUUUUAAACUGAAGGCACUAUGAAAGCUCAGGUGUAGACACUCUCAGGCUGGAUUAAUACUGAUGAACAUAGUGCUUUGCUGGGCCUGGGGGCUUGAGGAAGAACGUCCCUGGGCACCUGCUGGGUGCUGGCACCUUCACAUAGAGCCUCCUGUUCAAUCCUUGGUGUUAAGAAUCUUGCCAGCAGGACAAGCUGACCAAUGUUCUUCCUCAGCUCCUCCCAGGAAGCCAGGCUACAUUAAAGCAGGGUCUUUGGAGGCCUUGGAAAUGCAGGUGUUUUCCACUUAGACUCCAGAGCAGGAGCUUCAUGUUCCCUGUGCCCCAGGAAGAUGAGAAGGACCCAGAUGGCAGGAAGGGUGUCCUCUGGACACUUGGCUGGGAGCCCAGUUGCCUGGGUGCCAGGUCCAGCAAGGCCUCCCCACCCCUCUGGGGCCCAGUCAGAGGGAGGAAGGAAGGAAGCCAUGCAAGAUAGGAUUUCCCCACCCCAAGGCCUGCAAUCUUCCUGGCCCUAGUCACCUGAUAAGCAAGCUGGUUUGUAGCUGACCUGUGUAGUUUUACACCGGUAACAAAAGCCACUGGGAAGUUACAAAAAUCCUCCCGCACAGGUAGGCUUUAAGCGGCCACACUUGUUCAACAAGGGUGUGAAGGGGGGGAGUGAAAGAGCCCCAGACCGUCUGUAGGGGCGACUCUCUUCAGGGCCUGCUGGCUCGGCCCAGCGGCACAGAAGUUCCCCAGCUCUCCUCCCCUUUCUUCUGGGCCUUGGGGCGCUUUGACGUCUGCCCCUCCCUCCCAGCUGGUCUUGACUCACACGUUCCCUGGGUGAGCCACCUAUCCUCUGGCCCCCUUCCACCGACUCCGCCCAGGUCCCUGGGACACCCCGGGUGAGGAGUCGCUGGGAAGGCAGGCUGUGGGUGCAGGCCCGGGGCCUCCCCGCUCUGUGCGGGGGCUCGUGAGGGCUCUGCAGGCCAGGGUGAGGGGGGAGAGGGGCACAGGGAGUGGUAGACAACCGAGGCCCGCUUCCCCUCAGAGCUCCAGGGGGCUCUUUUGGUUCCUGGGAGGGUUGGAAGCCGCUUGCUUCCUGAUGCCAUCUUGUGUGCUCCUCCAGCAAGACAAGGUGCUCAUCAGGGCAGCAGUUAUCCUGAGGGCCCGGGACCAGCCUUCGUGUGUCAUGGGAAAGCAGCCAUGGAGGGCCUAGGAAAGAACCUCUUCACCCACAAAGAAGCCGAAUUUGGCUCCCAGGCUGAACCACAAGCCUUAUGCUGAUUACACAAGGCCACGCCUGCUCAGCUCUGGCUGGGGAGGGAGGCUUUGUAACUGAGGCUGGCUUCUGCCUCACUGACCCUGCCCCUUGCGUGAAAAUGUUCUCAGGAAGUCACGUUCUGGAAGGUCAGGAUGCUUUCGAAACUUGAAAGCAUUGAAGAGCCAUUCUGGAAGAGCUCCACCAGCCCCUGCUGAUAGACAGCAAUACUGUUCUUUUCAGCACUUUAAACGUGUCAUGGCAUUUAAUUCUCAUUGCAUCCCUUGGACGUGGAUCCUUGGAUGAUAUCCUGUUCAAGAGGAGAAAACCCAGGCUGUAAAGUACUCAGCUGUGGAUUGAGAACUGAAUGAGGCUCUUUGUUGGAGAGUUGAAGUCCCUGGCACUUGAGUCAGGGACGGAAGCCUGGGGAUACAGGUGGCCCUUUCCACCUCUCUAGUCAGUGUCUUUGUCACCUCGGUCUCCUUGAGGCCUGGUUUGAAAUGGAGCAAGUGCAGAGCUGGGAUUUUGAUGCCGGUCUGCAGCCUUUGGGAGCUGUUGGUGUAACUGAGCUGAAUCCUGUGGUGACUUCCCAGAGUGGACCCCUGCUCAUGUCCUCCGCUUGCUUGCCUUAUUAUCUAUAGAAAAACCUCAGUCAAAGAACCAAUUUGAUCAGAGAAGUGAGGAGUUCCCAUUGUGGCGCAGUGGAAACACAUAUGACUAGGAACCAUAUGGUUUUGGGUUUGAUCCCUGACCUUGCUCAGUGGGUUAAGGAUCCAGCGUUGCCAUGAGCUGUGGUGUAGGUUGCAGACGCUGCUUGGAUUCAGUGCUGCUGUGGCUGUGGCAUAGGUCGGCAGCUACAGCUCCGAUUAGAUCCCUCCAUAUGCCGUGGGUGUGGCCCUAAAAAGACAAAAGACCAAAAAAAAAAAA
Molecule: long non-coding RNA, 4279 nt
Filed under: Sus scrofa (pig)
Lineage: Eukaryota; Metazoa; Chordata; Mammalia; Artiodactyla; Suidae
Description: lncRNA (ENSSSCG00040041237.1)
Source: RNAcentral